This 365-nucleotide long non-coding RNA is filed under the name Nicotiana benthamiana. RNAcentral describes it as "long non-coding RNA (NBEN_LNC040571)". Lineage: Eukaryota; Viridiplantae; Streptophyta; Magnoliopsida; Solanales; Solanaceae. The record is from RNAcentral.
GGAACGGUCAAAAUAUAAUCGAUUGUAUGAAAAUGACAAUCGUUUGUUUAUGAAUAUAAUCGAUUGUAUGACAAAAACAAUCGAUUGUUUAGAUGUUUAAAAACGUCGGUUGCACACUGUCUCAAAAUAAUCGAUUGUUAAAAGUAGACAAUCGAUUGUUUGCUACUUUGAAAAACUUCAGAUCACACUGUCUUAAUACAAUCGAUUGUAGGUUUCAAAUAAUCGAUUGUUGAGGCCCAAAUUUAAAAGACAUGUUUAAAACCUUCAACAUCAUUUUGUUUUAACACAAAGAUGCAUGUUUAUGAUAAAUAUGAUUUAAUAAAAUAUUUUUUGCAUGUUUAUGAUGACCUAAUGUUGAGCCAAAG